This 397-nucleotide ribosomal RNA is filed under the name uncultured bacterium. Its description in RNAcentral is "partial 16S ribosomal RNA". It matches the Rfam family "Bacterial small subunit ribosomal RNA", at positions 338 to 732 of the family's 1533-position model. The record is from RNAcentral.
CCUACGGGUGGCAGCAGUGAGGAAUAUUGGUCAAUGGGCGCGAGCCUGAACCAGCCAAGCCGCGUGAGGGAGGACGGCACUGUGGAUUGUAAACUUCUUUUAUCAGGGAAUAAAGAGUGGUAUGUGUACUCGGUUGCAUGUACCUGAUGAAAAAGCAUCGGCUAACUCCGUGCCAGCAGCCGCGGUAAUACGGAGGAUCCGAGCGUUAUCCGGAUUUAUUGGGUUUAAAGGGAGCGUAGGCGGGUUGUUAAGUCAGGUGUUAAAGUUUGGGGCUCAACCGUCGAAUCGCGGUUGAUACUGGCAGCCUUGAGUACAGUAGAGGUAUGCGGAAUUCGUGGUGUAGCGGUGAAAUGCAUAGAUAUCACGCAGAACUCCGAUUGCGAAGGCAGCAUGCUGG